This 12221-nucleotide long non-coding RNA is filed under the name Octopus vulgaris (common octopus). The record is from RNAcentral. Lineage: Eukaryota; Metazoa; Mollusca; Cephalopoda; Octopoda; Octopodidae.
GGUUAUAACUCUCCUAGAUUAUUUUAAGUUAACCAUAUGAUUACUGUACAUCUAAUAAGCUGACCUGCCAACUUUUGUUACUCCAGGUUGAGGGAAACAGCUGUAACAGUACUUUCAACAUGCCUGAUUAAAAGACAUUGCUUGCCACAACUGACAAGUUUGCAGAACACAGUUGGGAUGUGAAGACAAUUUGGAAGUUCGCUAUAUACUCUCUUUUUUACUCUUUUACUUGUUUCAGUCAUUUGACUGCGGCCAUGCUGGAGCACCGCCUUUAAUCGAGCAACUUGACCCCGGGACUUAUUCUUUUGUAAGCCCAGUACUUAUUCUAUCGGUCUCUUUUGCCGAACCGCUAAGUAAUGGGGACAUAAACACACCAGCAUCGGUUGUCAAGCAAUGCUAGGGGGACAAACACAGGCACACAAACACACACAUGCAUAUAUAUAUAUACAUAUAUACGACGGGCUUCUUUCAGUUUCCGUCUACGAAAUCCACUCACAAGGCUUUGGUCGGCCCAAGGCUAUAGUAGAAGACACUUGCCCAAGGUGCCAUGCAGUGGGACUGAACCUGGAACCAUGUGGUUGGUAAACAAGCUACUUACCACACAGCCACUUCUGCACCUAUAUAAGAAAAUUUUGUGUUAAACUGAGCAAAAUGUUACCAAACUGCUUAUGGAUCAGCAUGUAUGAGCUGAGCUUCUGUUUUCUUGCUAGCUCUGGAGGCCAGAUAAAACAAGUCCACUAGGAAGCUCAUGAUGAUCCAAUUUUCAACAACAUAAGAAAGGACCAGAGCACCUGCACCAGUUAACAAUUCCAUCCUGGUAACCAGCUCCUUGACAGAGAUGAGUAUUAGAACUGUCCUUUACUGUCUCUACAGUCCAGACCUUGCUCGCUAUGACCUUUAAUUGUUCCCCAAACAGAAAGGGGAUGAGGAGGCUGUGAGGACUUUGAUGGGACCUUCAUGAAGUGGUACUACAAGUGCAUUGAAGUCAGAGAAUGUUAUUUUAAAGGUGAUUUGUCUUGCACUUCUUUGAAAUUAAAAAAAUAUUCUCCUGAAAAGAAUCAUAAAACAUCUGGAAUACACCUUAUAAAUGAAAUAGUUUGCAUCAGAAAUUAAGACCGAACUCCAUGCUAACCAUGCCUACCACAACUUAUAACAAGAUAUUUUAGACCUGACCACACUAAACCACUGCAUCAUAUCAAAGUAUGCUGUCUUGACUUUAGACAAGCAUGUAUUAGCAAUGGAACUUGUAGGUUGCUCUCAAUCAAUCAUUUGGGUAUUUUUGUGUUUUGGAUUUGCAUUCAGUAGAUGGCUCACAGCAGCCAUCGCUACAAGAAGAUCUCUUAAAUUAGAAAAAGGUCAUGAUUUUAUAAAAGAUGGGACAGUUCAAUAAUGGAUGCAGGUACAUAACUGAUUUUUAUUCUAUCAACUGGGAAGUGGAGCAUGAUGGUUUAAAAUCAAAAUCUAGAAAGAUGAAAUUACAUACAAUAAAGUGGUUUAUUCUGUCUGCCAUUCUAAUGUGUUGGCAAUUAUAAUAAUGAUUUGUAUGUUGGCACAAAGCAUUAACUUUUAUCCUCCUCUUUGGGAGAAAUUUGUAAACUUCUCAUACUUUCCAAGUCCAUUAGUGACAUAAGCUAAGGGUCUAUUUGAAAAUCUUUAACUGUUUAUUUUGAUAUGUUAAUGGUUGAUGCAAAUGGUGUGAAAUGGUAUUUCUGUUUGCAUUAGUGCCUAUAUACAAACUUAAGAAGACUCGGCCGAUAUUGAUUUUUAUCAAUGGUAUUGGAGGGAUUUCCAUAGUGCAAUGUUGUGUUACUGCUUUCUCCAAUACACAUAUACAUGGAGAAAAUGAACAUUAAGGGGGUGAAAAGGAUGGUUGUGGGCAUCAGUGCUGCUUAUUGUAGCUACCUACAAUUAUACUUAUAUUUGACAAGAAUAUUAAUACUUUAGAGUUAUGAUUGAAAUAUGAACUAGUUUAUGUUUGUGUUAUUGGUGGGGAGAAUAAAAGUAUUUAUAAUGUAAAUAAUGUUUACUGGAGUGAUAACAGCAGAAAUAUAUUUUACUGACAUUUGAACCCAGAAACAUGAGACAUUAUUAUAAGAAUUGGCUUGUUAUAUCAUAUCUCUUGUUAGGUUCACCGUUAUCACUUCAAUCAGCAUCUAGUCUUUAGAUCUAAACAGGUCUGGGGGAAUUCUUUUAUUAUGUUGUAUUUAGCACUUAUCUAAAGUUUCUGAAUUACAGAAAGGGACUUAUUUUCUAAAACCCACCGAGUUGAUAUCUGUUUGGAUCCAGACAGAUUAAAGAGAUUUGUUGCUCUGAAAAUUAUUGGAAUCUGAUGUUGGUAUAAUUAUUGUGUGAAGGCGCAUGGCUCAGUGGUUAGAGCGUCAAGCUUACGAUCAUGAGGUUGUGAGCUCAAAUCCCAGACCGGGCUGCGUGUUGUGUUCUUGAGCAAGACACUUUAUUUCACAUUGCUCCAGUUCACUCAGCUGUAGAAAUGAGUUGCGACGUCACUGGUGCCAAGCUGUAUCGGCCCCUUUGCCUUUCCUUUGGAUAACACUGGUGGCGUGGAGAGGGGACGCUGGUAUGCAUGGGAAACUGCUGGUCUUCCAUAAGCAACAUUGCCCGGACUUGUGCCUGGGAGGGUAACUUUUUAGGUGCGAUCCUAUGGUCUGUGUCAUGACUGAAGGGGGUCUCAGAAUAAUUAUUGUACAAACUGUCCAGUUUAAAACUGCUACACAUUUAUAUAUGAGUAUAUGCAAGUGUGUGUGUGUGUGUGUGUGUGUGCAAGGGGUCUAAGGAAGUUUAAUGUCUGUGUGUGUGUGUGUGCAUAUGUGUGUGCAUGUAGAUGUGUGUGUGUGUACAUUUGUUUCUUUGUUGCUCUGUUUGCAUUAUUUGUGUAGGUACUUAUUUGAAAUAAUUGUUUUAUAGUUGGAUAAUUUUCCUUUUGUUCAAUCAUUACUUGUUUCAUAUGUAGAGGCUUUUUCCCCCCAUAACUCUGAGAAUGCAGAGCUACAGGGCAUAAUAUCCACUUCAAAUGCAGACACAACACCAUCAAACAAUCUCAUGUGAAAAGUAGAAAUGAUAACUUUUAUGCAUGUAUGUGCACAUACAGGAAGCCUUCCAUGUAGUUUCUAUCUAAUAGUUAUGCUUGCAAAGCAUAGGAGAAGAUACUUGUCCUUGGUGUCAUGCAGUGGAGCCGAACCUAAAAUGAUCUGGUUGUAAAGUGAAUGUCUUAAUCGCACUACCAUGCCAACACUUCUCUAUCUGUAUCAUCUUCAUCAUCAUCACUUUUACAUCCAUGCUUGCAUCGAUCAGAUGGAAUUCAUCAAGGCACACUUUUAUGUCCCUUCUUGUUGCUAGCUACCACCUGUUUCCCAAGUAUGGUAAUAUUUAUUCAGAAGAUUGAAGAUCAACUGUUAUAUGUUGUCUAGACAGAGAUGCAAACAAACACACCUAUGCACAUGCAUACAUAUGUGUAUAUAUAUAUAUAUAUACACACGUGUGUGUGUGUGCAUGAAGACACAUAGCCUAGUGGUUAGGAGUUUGUACUCACAAUUGUGAGAUUGUGAUUUCGACUCCUAGACUGGAUGUUGUGUUAUGUUCUUGAGCAAAAUGCUUCAUUUCAUGUUGCUCUGUGAUCAUUUCGAGACCUAACACAUGAUACACUUGUGCACCUGCACAAACGAUGUUGAUUUGAUGUAUGGAAUGUGCUUAUGUGAACACAAACAUUUGAUCAUUAUAAAUAAGCCAUUUGUGUGAUUGUUCAGCAAGAAUUGUGGAAACUACCUGUCAUUUAAUGAUGGAAGAGUCCAUAAUGGCGGUGCCCCAGCAUGGCCACAGCUCGUGAGCUGAAACUAGAUAAAAUAAAAAAUAAAAAUAAAUAAUACACACACACACACACACACACACACACACACACACACACACACGCACACACGUGUGCACUAUGGGCUUCUUUCAGUUUGCAUCUAUGAAAUCCACCCAUAAGGUUUUAGUUGGCACAGGUCUAUAACAGAAGCCACUUGCCCAUGGUGGCAUGUAGUGGGAUUGAACCUGAAGCCACAUGGUUGGGAAGUGAGCUUCUUAAGCUCACAGCCAUGCCUACCUCUAUAGUAUAUAUGUGUGUGUACACAAAUAUACACAUACAAACACAAAUUUCUCUCCCUAAGUGUGAAGCAAGAAAACAAAUUAAACUAAUUAUAGUUUUGCAUAAACUUUUUACAGUUAUUUUGUUUUCUGUACAGUUUUAUUUCCUGACAAACUGAUUUUAUUUCCUUUGUUUUGUAUCAAGCAACAACAAUCUUAUAAAUAGUAAAAUAGAAGCAACACCAGCAUCUUGUUUUCAAUUUGAUAUUUGCCCUGCAGGUGUCUACAUAAGCUAUCUAAACUAGUUUAACAUAUUCCUGUAUUUCUUAGAGUGUUUCUCAGGGGAAAGAAUUUAUCUAAAAUAUGAUUUUUCUCUUUGUUUGCAUCAAUUUUUCUGUUUUUUCAACCAUUAAUUAUAAAUCUUGUUUUGUUUUGUUAUUAAUAUUUUACGUAGUCAUUAGUCCUUGUCAACUAACAGUAAGCUAAGUCAUUCUUGUGAUACAAGAAAAGACGAUAAUUUAAUAAAAAGAAAAUAACUUGUUAUAAGCAACACUGAAAUAAUGAAACAAAACAACCAAAAAAAUACAAAACAAGAAAAAUUGGUUUGCCUGUUUUUCAUAAAAUUUAUUCACGAAUCAGUAAUGUUUGAUAAGUUCCAAAAUCCAUCAGUGAUUGAAUAUUUAGAGAGAGAGAGAGAGAGAGGAAUACAGGUAGAUAUAUACAUAUAUGUAGACAUGCAUGCUCAUUAUUUCUUUUUUUCUCUUUCUCUCGAAUGGGAGAGGCAGUCAGGUAAACAUAAAAGAUAAAAGACACACACACACACACACAACUAAUCACUUUUAUGCUACCUUUAUCUCUGUCUUUUAUUUCCUCUAUAUGUGAGAGAUGCACAUAUAUCAACAUUACUUCUUUGCAAACCCUUCCCAACUCCUCCCAAUUUCUUUCAUUCUGCUUUUAUCUCCUUCCUCUAUAUUUCACCUGUUCUUCUUCUCUUUCUACUGCUCUUACUGAGGGGAUGAAGACACACAUUCAUAUAAUCUCUUAUCUAUUGCAAAACAUAUGCACACACACAUACAUGCACAUACAUACAUACAUACAUAUAUAUGUGUGUGUGUAGUUAUAUCCAUUUAUUCAUGAGUGUUACAAGUUUGUUUGCCAAUAGAAAAGAUUUGAUAUUAGCUACUAUCUAUUGCUGCAAACCAAAACAUAACACUCUAUCUCUCCCUCGUCACCCCUCUUUUUUCUCUCACAGAAGUCAUCAUUGACAACUAAAUAGUUUAUACAAAAUGUAUGAUAAGGAAUUUUAGCUCAUCAAAGUUAAUAAUGAACUUCUUAAUAGUUUUAUACUAAUCAAGUUUACUAUAGGACUUUUAUCACAUAAAAGCGUUCUUAACACUCUUUCUUAGAUUUUUAGCACUUGAAUCUCAGUGACAUUUCCUAUUUAGUAGACAUAUUAGCACGUUCUUGGUGCCAGACGCUCAGCUUUUUUACAAUAAAAGAAAUGGUCGAUAAUUGUAGAUUAUCAAAACUGUUUGAACAUUGUUAAAUAGUCUCAGGUUCAAACCUUAGCCUUUUGAAUGAGUUAUACUAACCUUGCACCAUCAGUCUUGCAUUCUCACUAUGUUGUGGUUUUGUCUGCUAUGUGACCUUGCUAUAUGUUCUUUUACACAUCUUGUAUUUAUGAUGUGUGCUGUGCAGAACCCAGAGUAUUUUACAUCUGUCUUGUCAUUCUAUCUUAUUGUGUAAUGUUAUUGUUUAGUCUUAGGUUAGACCAGAUUAAGUAGACCUUUGAUCAGACAUUCAUGUCAUGACCAACUUGUCUGUUUUUGAUAUUUCUCAUAUUAUCUGAUGUGUCCUUUCCUUUUCAACAUGUUAACCACCACAACCUGUUGUGUGAAUUUUGUGAUCAAACCACCAGUGGUAGAUGUUGUAGUUAACAUGUUAAAGACAUUAGAGUAUAUGAUCUGACUGCUAUUUUUAGCAAGUUAAAUUAGCAUUUAGUGGACACUAAUUGCUUUUGUUUGAAGCAUAAAAUGCAGGCCUUUGUGAAGUUGAAUAAGAGAAUGAAAAAAAAUUAUAAUAUCUGUACAUUUUACAAAAAGAAACUGCUCUCUGUAUAUAUUGAAAUAUUUGGUUCUUUUUUAGAAGGUGAAGUUACUCAAUAGAGAGACUCUAUUGAGUUACUAUCAGCAAACUGUACUAUCAGCAAACUGUACUCUCAGCAAAUGCACUAAGCAAAAACUUUUAGGGACCCUGGUCUGGUCCAUAGCAUUGUUGGUUGUGAAUCAUAAAUCCUAAGCAUAAAAUGACAGUGCAUUUGAGAUGACAUUCUGCAGGCAAGUGCUGUAGAUCAGUUGGGCAACUCAUUGAAAAGUCCUCCUGGGUAAAAAAGAAAACUUGGUGAAGAUAGUUAUAUGGCUUAUGUCAUCAGCACCCAGAACCUUUGUGCUCAUAUCUUCAGGGGCUGGGUGGACAGCGAACAUUCUCAUGGGGGAGAAAGGCAAAGAUGGAGUAAUGACAUCAAGAACCAAAUAGAGGGGACUCUGGUAAAGUAUAUAGCUACAACAUAAGACUACAGCAUAUGAUGAUGAGUGGUGGUCAUGUCUGGGGCCAGUGACUUUCAGCUGUGAGGAUGAGUACAUUCAUUCUUUUAUGCAGACUUCUACAGUAUUAACAGUGCCACUUACUAUGAACAUUCAAUCCAUAGAAAUUAAUUUGCAAUACAUGUUUUUGUUUUGUUAUUAUAACUGAGAAGGUCAAUCAAUGUCCAAUUUUUGCGUCUACCAUCAUCAUGAGAAAGAGGAAGAUUAUUGUAAAUACUGUCAAGUACUGAAGUCUAAGUUGGUGAAUAUUUGGUUGUGUCAUAUUCUUACAGAAUCUCCUGAACAAGAUUACCCAGAUAGUCGUAUUCCUCUCGAUAAAACCAUAAAACUUGCUGUCUCUUGUUUCUGCUUCCAUGUUGUACAUCAUCCCUUCUUGACCACAUCAUCCCUUCUUGACCACCUUAUCCCUUCUUGACCAGCUUUCAUCACUUGCACAUAGUAAUAAAGUGAAAAAAAAACACGCAACCCUCCCCUCCCAUUUAUUUCAAUCCAAGAAGACACCAGUGCUCUAUUGAUACUCAUUCUAUCAACCCCUGAAAGGAUGAAAGGGAAAGUUGAUCUCGGCAGGAUUUGAAAUCAGAAUGUAUAGAUGUUCAAAAUGCCGCUAAGCAAUUUGCCCAACAUGCUAGCGAUUCUGCCAGCUUCACUGCCCUACUGCAAAGUAUAAUAUUAAAAAUAAGAAUAAUGGCAUAUAGCCCUCAUUAUCCACAAUGCGGUCACACAUUAUUGUUAACCAUUCCCAUGGUACGCAUUCAUCAUAACCUUUCAAACUACUGUAAAAUCUUCUCAAUUCCAACUUGAAACAAUUGUGAACUACCACAUAUCCAUUAUUCUUUCUCUGUAAACUACUAGACUGAUUUCUGCAGAGCCAAGUCUAUCAGAAAAUUGCUAUUGUCAUUCACCAGUAAUUUCUUGCUCCUGAAAAGCAGUGUUUUUAUCCAUAAAUGUUAUCAGAGGUUUUAGCUCUCUCUAACACAAAGCUGCCAACAUAGAAAUCCUACAAAUCUCUACAUUUUAAUAGAGCAGUUUAAUUCAAAUGAUUAAGUCUCUCUUUCAAUUCCAUUUUUCUGUUGUAAUUCACUUGAUUUAUUUGAAUUAAUUUUGAAAAUAACAAAGAAUCUAGUUAAAUAACUUUGUCAUUAUUUAAGCUGAUGUUUGGAACAGAUUAACUAGAUAUGUGAUGGAGGAAAGUUUUGAUGUAGACCACUUUUAAGCUAAGUUUUAAAUUCAAGUAAGUUUAUAUUAUUGAAUCAAUAGUAAGCAGAUUGGUCUCAAAAGGAUUAAUGUCUAUGGGGCUCUCUCUGACCCUGAUUUUAACGAUUCUGAUUAACGAUGUUGUCUCUUCCACCAAUUCUCAUUUCUGAGCAUAUGAUACCAUUCUUAACUCCCUCUUAAGCUUCUGCAUGCAGUUGUUUUCCAAUUGUAACAUUGAUUCACACUGUUUUGAUGAAUAGAGACACUGGAAAGAUUCUUAGAAAUAAACAUGACAACAUGGUAUCUUACAAAAAUUUUAUUACUUAUAUCAUAGAAGUAAAAAAUAAAACAAAAAAAACCAGUCUUGCUCUACACCCUGUUUGCAUCUGAACAUCUCACAGCUUGAACACUCGAACAUACUAUAAAUCUAGGAUACACAAUCCCAGAUUCAUUUUUCAUAGCAACCGUAAUUCUAUAAAAGUGAAGCUUAAGUUUAGGUUUCAUUUUCUGAACAAGAAAAUACUUCAACACUGUUCGCUUAAACCUGAAUGUAAUCAUUGUAUGUGUUGAUAUUGAUCAACACCCACAGUUACAGCCAAACAAUAUUGAUAGUUUCCUUCAUGCUGAUUCCACCAACCAACUAACUAACCAACAAACAACAAUUACUAUCUCAUAGACACACUGUUUUUUCUCUCAGUAUUUUCUAUGCUUCUACAGUAACUUUUAUUUCUCUGAACUACUAAGCUAUGUACUAUAUCUUCUUCAACACACGAUGCAUCCGUCUCGCCUCAUAUUGCCACUUGUUUUAUCUCUAAACAUCAUCAUCAUUUAAUAUCUGUUUACUAUGCUGGCAUGGGUUGGACAGCUUGACAGGAACUGUUAUGGCCAAGGACUACACCAGGUUCCAUAUUCUGUUUUGGCUUGUUUUCUACAAUUGGAUGCCCUUCCUAAUACCAACCACUCCACAAAAUGUACUGUGAUUUUUAUGUGGAAACAUCACAGGUGCUUUUUAAGUGGCACCUGGACAAGUGCUUUUUACAUAGCACCUUGGUUUUAGGAUCUCAAUUCUCAUUUGGUGGGUGGGUCUUCUGAAAUGCAGCAAUGUGCCGCAUAUCUCAAUCCUCUGUCAUCUCCUUUGUAAAGUUCAGCAUUUUGAGAUCACUAUACUACAUAUUUCCUUAAAAUUUCUUUCUUAGGACCAUUACCAUCUGCAACUUGCACAGUCUUCAUUUUCCCCUACAAUUAUUUAUCAAAUUAUAUUCAAACUGUUAUGGGAGUGUCUUGAACAGCCCCACAUGCCUGAAGGUGGACUGAUUCAAUAAAUAAGAACUAAGUGAACUAUCAAGGAGUAGUUGACAGUGUUAGUUAGACCAUGUUGGUCAACUGUGUUAGUUCGACAGUUGGUAGAUGAACAAUGAAAACUGAAUAUUGUACCUAUGUUUAAGUAGUAGAGAGCAUUCCGUGUUAACAUAUAUUUCUGCAAUAGGUAAUUUUUAGAUAACCACUACCAACUAUUUUUUUGUGUAAUACCAUUUUAUGUCAGAUGUGUAUACCCACUUCAUAGUACAAACUAAAUACCAACUGCAUAUAUAUUGUAUGGCUGUAAGUGCUUGUAAAGUUUGAGUACUUCUCUUUCUCCUUGAAAUACAUAAAGGAAUUUUUUUAAAAAAAAGGAGGUCUUGUAUUACAAGAUCUAAACUCUUAACUGUGUUAUUAUUGAUCUGGCACAGGAUGGUGGAUUGGCAAAAGUCUUCAUUCUAUUUCUUUCAGUUCUUUACAUUCUAAGUUCAAACCCUGCUGAGGUCAACUUUGCCUUUAAGCCUCUGGGAAUCAUCUAACUGCUCCCCUGCAUCUUUAGCCUGCAAACUCCCUCAUUAUAAAUCAAUAUUGAAUAAGUAAUAGAUGGGCAUUGCAGUCUUUUUCAUCAAACAUUUUCAUGGUACCUCAAUCUUGCAAGAGAGUGUAAAUUUUUCAGUUACAAAAUGUAUGGGUGCAUAUUAUGAAGCAAAGCAGUGAUUGUAAGAAACAGUAACCCUAUAAGCCAAAUUGUUAUGUCAUGUCCUUCCAGAAACCAUUUGAAAUGGUUAAUAUUCUAUGCUCAUUCUGCUGUUUGUUUGUUUGUUUACCAUUCGGAUUACUGUCAAACGUGAUGCUCAUUUAUUCACAUUGUUUUGAAUGUGAAUAAAGCAUGCAUUAUCUCAUAGCUUGAAGAUUUCAAUGAUGUGAUUGUUUAUUUUAAGAAUGAUGUUGUGGGGUAAGUGUGAGGGGCUGGAUCUAACCAGUUUCAACAUAAAACAGAUGGAAUAUUUUGGCUAGAUAUAGCUGGUUUAAAUGCUAACUUUUAUAUUUGAAAAAUAUCUUAAACUAAUGGUUACUAGUAGAGUAAAAUAAUGCAACUGAUUUCUUGUUAUUUCCUUUAACUGUGGAUGUAACUGUGAGUGUAUAACUUUUGAUUAGAUUGAAGUAUGUCUCGUAUAUAUGCAUGAGUAUGAAUGUAGUAGGAUCAACUUAUUCCACACGUGGUGUACAAUUGAUUUGGUGAAGCAUAAGUUAUAGACCUAAACACUAUAUUUUUAUUCUUUUACUUGUUUCAGGGUUUUCUAGUCAAAGAAAUCGACCCCAGGACUUAUUCUUUGUAAGCCUAGUAUUUAUUCUAUUGACUCUUUUGCCAAACUGCUAAGUUACAAGGACUUAAACACACCAACAUUGGUUGUCAAACGAUGGUGGGGGACGAAUACUGACACACACAUAAAUACACACACACAUAUACAUACAUACACACACACACAACAUACUUCUUUCAGUUUCCAUCUACCAAAUCCACUCUCAAAGCUUUAGUGUGCCUGAAGCUAGAGUAGAAGAUACUUGCUGAAGGUGCCACACAGUGGGGCUGAACCCAGAACCAUGUUCUUGGGAAUCAAGCUUCUUAUCACACAGCCACUCACGUGUACAUACAAAGGUGUAAUAUAUUAAACUGAUAUCUCUGUAUGCAUACAAACACAUGCAUAUCAUAAUUAGUUUCUUGAUAUAACACACCUUCUCAUAUACUAUUUCGUGUUAAUCUGUUUGGAGCAUUUUCUAUAGAUUUAUUGCUUGUGAUACAAUAAUAAUAAUAAUGAUAAUAAUAAUAAUAAUAAUAAUAAUAAUAUGAUGAUGGCAUACAAAAUAUAUAAAUUAUAUCAAUCAAUGAGAAUUUGUUGCACUUCUUUUUUUUCUUCUAAAGAUUUCUCAGGUGUUGUAAGUAAUAGGGUUUUUUAUCUUCAUUAACCCUUUAGUGUUCACAUUAUUCUACCCAAAUUAAUGCUUUUUCAUCCUCGUUGUUUUGAACUAAUCAUGCAUUAUCUUGAAGCUAUGAGAUUUUGAUGAGGUAGCUGUUAAUUUUUAAACGAUAGUGUAGGGUUGGUGUGAGAGACCAGAUCUGGCCAGUUUGAACAUAAAACAGACAGAAUACUUUUGGCCGGAUAUGGCCGGUUUAAAUGCUAAAGGGUUAAUUUUUUUUUCCCGUUCAGUAAUUUCACUUUCCAUGUUGCUUUAUUUGGAAGCAGGCCUCAGCAUGAAAAUAUUGAGGGAGACAGAACUUACAUCAACCUCCCAAUAUAGCUACUAAUGUUUACAUCUUAGUCAUUAAUGGCGGUAAAUAAAUAUAUAGUAUUUAUUAGUAAUAACUAUAUAUAGUAGUCAUUAGUAAUAAUAUUCUCCUUUUAUUUCUGUUUACGAGUAACCCUGUGAUAUGUGAUUGAGUAAUUGAGAAGUCAUGUCUUUAAUCCUUUCCAAAGAGUAAAAUCCUUCUUGUCGUGAAUGACCCUGGGAUUGCACCUAGAAAGUAACCCUCUGAGGCACAAGUCCGGGCGAAGUUGUUUAUGGAAGGCCAGCAGUUGCCCAUGCCUUGUGGUUCUUCACUUCUAGUUCUUUACUGUCUGGGUUCAAAUCCUGUCAAGGUCAACUUUGCCUUUCCUCCUUUCAGCUCAAUAAAAUAAAGACCAGUCAAGGGAUCAAUAUAAUCAAUGAACCAUCCCCCUCGAAUCUCUGGCCUUGUACCUAUGUUAGAAACAAUUACUGUUCUGUAUUUGAAAGAAACAAAAGCAAGAUGUAACAUUAAUUUUGUAGCAGACCUGGUCUGCCAGUAAUGUGCUGAACAAAAAUUAGUUCUGUGUACUACAAGACUAUGUUGCUGCAAACACGUGUAGCUGCAAUUUUCUUUUUUUUCUUUUCCAUCGCUCUCUCUCUCUCUCUCUCUGUUUUUUAUGUAGGAGUCCUUGUGUAUUUUGGAAUGUGUAGAACUGUAGGGAAUUGGUAUAAAGGUGAUAGUUCUAGAAAAACAAAAAGGAAAAUGAAAAAAAUUAC